AAAUUGAAGAGUUUGAUCAUGGCUCAGAUUGAACGCUGGCGGCAGGCCUAACACAUGCAAGUCGAGCGGAAACGAGUUAUCAGAACCUUCGGGGAACGAUAACGGCGUCGAGCGGCGGACGGGUGAGUAAUGCCUAGGAAAUUGCCCUGAUGUGGGGGAUAACCAUUGGAAACGAUGGCUAAUACCGCAUGAUGCCUACGGGCCAAAGAGGGGGACCUUCGGGCCUCUCGCGUCAGGAUAUGCCU
Molecule: ribosomal RNA, 245 nt
Filed under: Vibrio parahaemolyticus
Lineage: Bacteria; Pseudomonadati; Pseudomonadota; Gammaproteobacteria; Vibrionales; Vibrionaceae
Description: partial 16S ribosomal RNA
Rfam family: Bacterial small subunit ribosomal RNA
Source: RNAcentral